Long non-coding RNA from Oncorhynchus tshawytscha (Chinook salmon), 3229 nucleotides. Lineage: Eukaryota; Metazoa; Chordata; Actinopteri; Salmoniformes; Salmonidae. The record is from Ensembl.
CGCUAGUGGCGCUCUUCUUGGAGACGGUGCCAUCUGGUAGAGACACUCCUCCACGACAUGAGGGCAAAGGUAAAUUUUAUCCACUCAAAACGAUUGUUUUGUAGGCAUCUUCCUUGUUGCUAUGCUAGUUAGCUUUAAGUGAUUUGGCUGGCUAGCCUGUUAACUGCGACAUAACUGCACGCAUUUUGUAGUUAGCCACCUGCUACAUUUUAAAUACAUUGAUUAUCGCGUUCGGUGCAUAGGCUUGUAGUAAUUUCUAAGACAACAUAAAAUCUUUGACGUUUGUAUAGUUGGAUAAUGCAAUGAAGAGCUUUGUCAUUCUACGAUAGCUUUUUCACGCGCAUUUUUUUUCUCUCUAGAAAUACUGCACCAAACGUUUUGGCUCCCGAGUGUCAUAGCGGUCUAGGGCACUGUUUUUAUUGGUCACAUACACAUGGUUAGCGUGUGUUAUUGGCGAGUAUAGCGAAAUGCUUGUUUCUAGUUCCAACAGUGCAGCAGUAUCUAACAAUUCUCGAAUUCAAUUACCUACUACACCCAAAUCUAAGUAAAAUAAUUAUAUAUAGAUGAGUAAUGAGAGCGGCUUAGGCAUGAUGCAAAAUAUGGUAUAAAUGUAUACAUGAGAUUAGUAAUGUUCACACAUCUUGCAUGUGACCAAUAAAAUGUGAUUUAUCAUUUUAUUAGUAUCCAAGUCUGUACGUAGGCAGCAGCCUCUAGUGAUGGCUGUUUAAGUCUGUUUGGCUUGAGAGAAGCUGUUUUUCACUCACUCAGUUCAUGCUUUGAUGCACCUUUACUGACCUCAUCUCAGUGAUUGGGAGUCAAAUGGAGCGGCUCAAUGGCCCAGCGUCGUCCAGGUGGAGAAAGAAGCGUAUGCGCAGGCUGAAGCGCAAGAGGCGAAAGAUGAGGCAGAGGUCCAAGUAGAAUGCCUCCCCAUACAACACCAUGGCUGUGACCCUUCUGGACACAACACGGGACCAAGGAUCUCAUGCUUAAAGUCUGAUCUGAGAUGUGCCAUCCAUGCCAAUGAGAGGCUGUAAAGAGACAGUGCUACUGUUGUCUUGGUCAAGAGACCACCUGCCUGGGAAAAUUAUGGGGACAUUCUGGAUUCUCUACUCUUCUACCAAACCUAUCCUACUCCAUUGCUUUUGUUUAUACUUUCCCAAUAAAGUUUUUGGUUUAAAGUUGUCUUUGUUGCUUCUGAAACAGGGUCCAGAAUGUAAUUCCUACCAUGCUGCACCCAUUUACCAUUAUUGCUGACAAGAGUUCAGUUCUGGUGAGUAGUCAUAUCAAACAUUCUUAUAGGUAGCCCAUAUGUUGUGAUUCCCUUAAAACCAGUUUAGGGGUUAUCAGUAUGAUAAGGUUAUGCUGCAUGCCUUCUCGCAGCUGUUGUGUCACUGUUGUGAGGCGUGCAUGGACUGCUCCAGACGGGGGCCAUCUGGAGCACGGUCUCCUGAGUGGUGCAUCUCAGUGCUAGAUGCCCCAGUUUGGUCCCGGGCUGUAUCUCAACUGAUUGGGAGUCCAAUAGGACUAUCACAGCAACACGUGCAACUUAGUUUUCUAGGUAAAUUUACUGUGAACAUUCUCAUUUCAAACAAUGACCUGGGGGAUUAAUGAGCCAAACGGAAGCUGGGGAUGAUUAGGUGGUAAUGGUAUGAGGACUAGAUUGGGUAUUUAGCCAGGACACUGGGUUUAACGCCUGUUAUAAUUGUCAUGGGAUCUUUAGUGGCCAAAGGUCGGACACCUGUUUUAAUGUCCCAUCUGGUGGUCCCCAAUCACCGCCCUGGAGCAUUGAUAUCUUGGUUGACGUAGUUUCCCUGGAUACCUGGCUGUCACUAAGGGCAAUUCUGUGGGGGAAAACCAUUUAAUUUAACGUCAUGUAUAGAGUAUUGUAGCCAAUGGUUUCUAUUUAAUGCUAUGUAAACAUAUCUAUGUAGGUCUUCAUUUUGUUAUUAAGUUGACGUGAAAAAUAAAUUAAACCGCACCCCAAAUGGUCAAAAACAAACAGGUUUACCCUGGAGGCAAAACGGUUUGAUCUCUCUGGCACUGUCUUACAGGCUGUUCAAAUAGAUGUCAGCCAAGCAUACUCUGUUUUUAAACAAGUGAGAUUUGGAUUUGAAAAUGGGUGGCCUAUUGUAGGACAUGUGUUUUUCCCCAUUACAAAUGCAUGUUGGACUAUUAAUCUGUUUCUAAAUUACUAAUUUACUAGUGUAAACCCACUGAAGAAAAAUACAGGACAGUCAACAGCCUACAAUAACGAAGCUUCUCCAAAACGUGUGCGUAAUACUCAUAGUUCUACAUUAUACCAGGUGUCAACCGAGGUAAUGGUCGUGUUGCUGUAUCAAAUACGUAGGGUACCCAACUAUCACGUUUAUUCAUUGGCCUCCAGUAGAUAUACAGGCAAUUCCAGUGGUGUAAAAAUACUUUAAAGUACUACUUAAGUAGUUUUUGGGGCAUCUGUACUUUACUAUUUAUAUUUUUGACAACUUUUACUCCACUACAUUCCUAAAGAAAAUAAUGUACUUUCUACUCCAUACAUUUUCCCUCACACCUAAAAGUACUCGUUACAUUUUGAAUGCUUAGUAGGACAGGAAAAUGGUCUAAUUCAUACACUUAAAGAGAAAAUCCCAGGUUAUACCUACUGCAUCUGAUCUGGCGGACUCACUAAACACAAAUGCUUUGUUUGUAAAUUAUUUCUGAGUGUUGGAGUGUGCCCCUGGCUAUCCGUAAAUUUAAAAAACAAGAACAUCGUGCCAUCUGGUUUGACUUUUGAUACUUAAGUAUAUUUUAGCAAUAACAUAUACUUUUGAUACUUAAGUUUUUGGGGCGGCAGGUAGCCUGGUGGUUAGAGCGUUGGGACAGUAACUGAAAGGUUGUUGGAUCAAAUCCUCGAGUUGAGAAGGUAAAAAUCUGUCGUUCUUCCCCUGAGCAAGGCAGUUAACCCACUGUUCCUUGGUAAACUUGUUCUGACUUGCUUUGUUAAAUAAAAGUAUAUUUAAAACCAAAUACUUAUUUUAUUUUGCUCAAGUUGCAUUUUACUAGGUGACUUUUACUUGAGUCAUUUUCUAUUAAGGUAUCAUUACUUUUACUCAAGUAUGACAAUUGGGUACCUUUUCCUCCACUGGGCAAUUCUUAGUCGGAAAGCUAUUGGUUUAUGUAAGGGAACACCCCCCUGAAAUGGACAAAAAUGAAUGGGAUGUUAUUGGCACCGUAUGAAACAUAUAAACGAUGUACA